GAUGAACGCUGGCGGCGUGCUUAACACAUGCAAGUCGAACGUGAGAGGUAGCAAUAUCUUGAAAGUGGCGCACGGGUGAGUAACACGUAGGUAACCUGCCUCGGAGUGGGGGAUAACAGUUAGAAAUGACUGCUAAUACCGCAUGAAUCCAUUAAGAUGGGAAUGUUGAUGGAGAAAACUCUGGUGCUUCGAGAGGGGCCUGCGGUCGAUUAGCUAGUUGGCGGGGUAACGGCCCACCAAGGCGACGAUCGAUAGCUGGUCUGAGAGGACGAUCAGCCACACGGGAACUGAGACACGGUCCGACUCCUACGGGGGGGCAGCAGUGAGGAAUAUUGGGCAAUGGGCGGAAGCCUGACCCAG
This 360-nucleotide ribosomal RNA is filed under the name uncultured bacterium. Its description in RNAcentral is "bacterial SSU rRNA". It matches the Rfam family "Bacterial small subunit ribosomal RNA", at positions 28 to 391 of the family's 1533-position model. The record is from RNAcentral.